UCCGUGGUCGACGUCGAGGGCGCCGUCUCCUUCCCCAAGGAGCCCCACGUAUCCACCACCCAUCAGGUUGAGAUCCAAGUGAGGAAGAACUAUUGCAUCAACAGGGCUAUCCCGACCCUUCCAUUUAACCUUGAGGAUGCAGCACGGAGCGAGGCGGAAUUUGAAAAGUCUGUAUGUCUUUUAAUUUGUAGAUCACGUCAUUUCCUUGCAUUCUGCUUAAGUUUCAAGACAUAUGUACACAUAUGUUCUUUCAAAUUCCAUACUACUCAACA
Long non-coding RNA from Panicum virgatum (switchgrass), 272 nucleotides. RefSeq lists it as uncharacterized. Lineage: Eukaryota; Viridiplantae; Streptophyta; Magnoliopsida; Poales; Poaceae. The record is from RefSeq and is a predicted model, not a curated record. The transcript is spliced from 2 exons.